UGUUUCAAUGGAAGUCAAUGACCCAAGUAAACGUUGGUUUCUAUGGAAGAGACACCCCUUUAAGUAGACAGGAACUGACACAUUUUUUCCUAUGGUAAAUGGCCUGAGUGAGCCAUCUUCAUUUAUCCAACGUCUUUGGAUAUACACAGACUGGCGGAGUGGAGCGAGAAACGACUGUUGGGCUGUCCCGUGAAGAGAUCUCGCCAUGCGUGAAUACAAGCUAGUGGUGCUAGGCUCGGGAGGCGUGGGCAAGUCCGCUCUGACAGUCCAGUUUGUGCAGGGAAUCUUUGUGGAAAAGUACGACCCAACAAUAGAAGACUCCUACAGAAAGG
Salvelinus sp. IW2-2015 is the source of this 332-nucleotide non-coding RNA. Lineage: Eukaryota; Metazoa; Chordata; Actinopteri; Salmoniformes; Salmonidae. The record is from RefSeq and is a predicted model, not a curated record.